AUGCCGCCUCCUUUGCUUCGAGCUGCCUCCUGCGCCUCGAUCUCCUUCAAGACUGGCCGGUUCCAUCUUCCUGCACCCGUUCCCCGUCUCCGGCGCCACGCUAGACCUCCCUCACGCCUCGCUAGCUAUUGCUGUGCCGCCGUGUUCCUGCUUCAAGCAGGCAGAGGGUCGAUCCACCACCAGCGCUCGCCUCUGCCAUGGACCUCCCCAGCGAGGCCCAUCUGCGUCAUCCGCCCCGGCCUCCUGCACUCGUGCCGGACCACGACGCACCGCUGUCAUUAUGCACCUCCAAUUGUUGUUGCAUCAAAGUCCAACGACCACUUAACAGGGAACAACGCCAAGUACCACGACAGACCGCCAAGUAACCCUUCGAAUCCUUCAAGUCCGUCAAGUGAACGACUACCAUCGCUCCAAGAUCCGAAUGGCUACGACGACAUGAACAUCUAUGAAACGUUUACAACUACACGAUGA
This 471-nucleotide ribosomal RNA is filed under the name Triticum aestivum (bread wheat). RNAcentral's name for it is "partial small subunit ribosomal RNA". The record is from RNAcentral. Lineage: Eukaryota; Viridiplantae; Streptophyta; Magnoliopsida; Poales; Poaceae.